UACAGAGGUCUCAAGCGUUGUUCGGAUUCAUUGGGCGUAAAGGGUGUGUAGGUGGCGCCGUAAGUCGGGUGUGAAAUUUCGGAGCUUAACUCCGAAACUGCAUUCGAUACUGCGGUGCUUGAGGACUGGAGAGGAGACUGGAAUUCCUGGUGUAGCGGUGAAAUGCGCAGAUAUCGGGAGGAACACCGGUGGCGAAGGCGGAUCUCUGGGCCAUUACUGACGCUGAGGAGCGAAAGCGUGGGGAGCGAACAGG
Molecule: ribosomal RNA, 253 nt
Filed under: uncultured bacterium
Lineage: Bacteria
Description: partial 16S ribosomal RNA
Rfam family: Bacterial small subunit ribosomal RNA
Source: RNAcentral